AGCAGCUGUAAUGGCUUUAGAGGAAGGCUCGAUGUUAUCAUUAACUGCAGUGUAACCUCAUGCAUUUCACACUUGUCUCUGAGUGGCCGAGUGUCAUGCUAUCACUUUUUUUUUUUUCUUUCUUGUGGCGUGGCAGCUUUCCUGUUUCCAUGUCCGCAUUUGAACGAAGGAAAUAGACUCUUCUACAGACGAUGCCCCACAAAAUAACGGGAAUCCACUAUAGCCUGAAGGAGGUGACAUCAUCCUGGAGAAACUCUGGCUUACACAGUACAACAGAUGUAGAUAACACUACAGACACACCUCACUUCCUGAGAGGAGAGUUAUGGCUUCCUGGGAGAGGCACUGCCGUCCCCUGGAGCCCAUGAGGAGUUGGACAGCUACCUAUGGAGAGGGCACAUCUCUGACUUGUAGACCUGCUCUGAGGCUUCUCCUCUCACUUUGAGAUCCUCCGUGUACCUGUCAAAGGGUCAAAAGGGUACGCUGGCUGCAGACAACAGGACUGU
This is a long non-coding RNA of Xiphias gladius (swordfish), 503 nucleotides long. RefSeq lists it as uncharacterized. The record is from RefSeq and is a predicted model, not a curated record. NCBI's taxonomy places the organism in Eukaryota, Metazoa, Chordata, Actinopteri, Istiophoriformes, Xiphiidae. The transcript has 3 exons.